Molecule: ribosomal RNA, 492 nt
Filed under: uncultured bacterium
Lineage: Bacteria
Description: partial 16S ribosomal RNA
Rfam family: Bacterial small subunit ribosomal RNA
Source: RNAcentral
AGUGAACGCUGGCGGUAGGCCUAACACAUGCAAGUCGAACGGCAGCACAGUAAGAGCUUGCUCUUACGGGUGGCGAGUGGCGGACGGGUGAGGAAUACAUCGGAAUCUACUUUUUCGUGGGGGAUAAUGUAGGGAAACUUACGCUAAUACCGCAUACGACCUACGGGUGAAAGCAGGGGAUCUUCGGACCUUGCGCGAUUGAAUGAGCCGAUGUCGGAUUUGCUAGUUGGCGGGGUAAAGGCCCACCAAGGCGACGAUCCGUAGCUGGUCUGAGAGGAUGAUCCGCCACACUGGAACUGAGACACGGUCCAGACUCCUGCGGGAGGCAGCAGUGGGGAAUAUUGGACAAUGGGCGCAAGCCUGAUCCAGCCAUACCGCGUGGGUGAAGAAGGCCUUCGGGUUGUAAAGCCCUUUUGUUGGGAAAGAAAAGCAGCAGGUUAAUACCCCGCUGUUCUGACGGUACCCGAAGAAUAAGCACCGGCUAACUUCGUG